Molecule: ribosomal RNA, 755 nt
Filed under: Glomeromycotina sp. OTU31 DJMC-2012
Lineage: Eukaryota; Fungi; Glomeromycota
Description: eukaryotic LSU rRNA
Rfam family: Eukaryotic large subunit ribosomal RNA
Source: RNAcentral
CGGAGGAAAAGAAACUAACAAGGAUUCCCCUAGUAACGGCGAGUGAAGAGGGAAGAGCUCAAAUUUUAANUCUGCCUUGUUCCAAGGUCGAGUUGUAAUUUGAAGAAGCGUUUUCUUGGGCUCGCGGCCGGUAGAAGUUCUUUGGAACAGGACAUCAUAGAGGGUGACAAUCCCGUCCGUGACCGGUCGUGCGUUCAUCUACGAUACGCUUUCAAAGAGUCGAGUUGUUUGGGAUUGCAGCUCCAAACGGGUGGUAAACAUCACCUAAGGCUAAAUAUUGGCGAGAGACCGAUAGCGAACAAGUACCGUGAGGGAAAGAUGAAAAGAACUUUGAAAAGAGAGUUAAACAGUACGUGAAAUUGUUGAAAGGGAAACGAUUGAAGUCAGUCGUGCUGGCGCGAAAUCAACCCUCUCGUCUUGAGAUCACAUGGCGCGACGAGCCUCAAAACCGUCACGAAGCGUGAACUCUUGACGAAAAGGUGCACUUUCGUGUCCGCUGGUUAACAUCAAUUUCGAACGUCAUAAAAAGGCUGGAGGGAUGUGGCUCCUUCGGGAGUGUUAUAACCUUUAGCGGAAUGUGGCGUUCGGGAUUGAGGAUUGCAACGAAUACCUUCAGGGCUGUUCCACCUGGCUUCUCAUUGGUAUCCUGGUGACGACAGCUUGCUGACGUCGUUAGGAUCAGCUUCUGAACAGGCUAGAGUGUGAGCAAAUUCGUUAAGGAUGUUAACGUAAUGGCUUUAAACGACCCGUCUUGA